CAUUAAGAAGCUAUGUAUCAGCACUAGCCUUUUAAGCUAGAGAAAGAGGAUCAACUGCCCCUCCUUAAUGG
RNAcentral lists this transfer RNA (71 nucleotides) under Calidris canutus (red knot). RNAcentral's name for it is "tRNA-Lys". The record is from RNAcentral. Lineage: Eukaryota; Metazoa; Chordata; Aves; Charadriiformes; Scolopacidae.